AUCGCUGGGCGCGUGGUCUGCGGCCCCACCAUCUUAAGGAGAAACUGAGGCCCGGAGGAGGACGGGGAGAGCCGGCGGAGGUCAGCCCGGAUUCCGGGCCCGGCUCCUGGCUCCGUGUCCGGCCCCUCCGCCGGGUGCGGAUCUCUCGGGAGGCGGGUCCUCGAGAAAGGGGCCCCGGGUCCGAUCCCCCGCCCUCAGCCCGCCCGCGGGGAAGACUCCGGUCGCGCUAACGACCAGCAGCGGGUCCGGCGACGCGCGGGCCGCGCAGCCGCUUGUGUUCCCGGGCCCGAGGGGCGCCCCGGACCCCGCGGUUUUCACGCACUCACCCACCCCCGGCUCCGGGCCUUGAGUCCCCCAGAGCCGUUCAUCGGUUGCCUACGGAGUGACCUGAGGAGUGUGAACCCGUUUUGGCGUCACCUGUCUUUAACGGAGUGUGAAAGCCCGGGUUGUGCAGAGCGGUUGUCUUGAGCUUUCAGGCCGUGCGGGCUCUGCGGCUCUCUUGGGAGCAGAUGGAGACUGUCCCUUGGACGGCUUUGCGGGCCGUGCCGCAGGCAGCAGCCCUUUCUGCCCUGCAGGACCCUGAUCCGCAGCUCCUGAUGCCGCCCUUGUGUGCAGGGGUGAGGCCUGCUGGGAGUGUCUUGUGACUGCUGUUCCACGGAUGUGAGAGGCGACCUCAGGGAGAACUUGAUCAGGAGGUCCCAGGUGGGUCUGUGUGUGCAGAGGCUCCAUGGGAGGUGUCAUUUUACCAGCCUGCGGUAGGCUGUGGGGCCCGAGGUGGCAGACUUCCUAGCCUGCUUUCUGGCUCACGUCUGUGAGGGUAUUGUUGCUGACUGGGCGCUCGGUGCGGUCAUCCAUCCGCAGCAGGCUGACUGGCUGCCUUCUGUGCUGUGCACCUGCCGAUGAGUUCCGGAAGCAGAAACCCCGCAGUGGUGUCUUCACUCUCUGGACUCAGACAGCCUGCUGGUGCCCCUGAGAGAUCAGCCUGGUGCUCCUGAGAGAGACAGCUUGGUGCCCCUGAGAGGAAUGUCUUGGCUCCCAGGUCAGCCUUAGAUCAGGAGCUGUUGAAGUAAGUCCCAAGGCCAUGAGUCAGGGACCCUCGGGAUGACUUGGGAUCUGGGUUUGCUGAUAUGUCUCCCCAAGAUUCUCUUGGUGUUAGUGGACAGCAGAGGAACAGAGGAUGGUGAGGGAGUCCCUGCAGAAGGCAUCCCCAGAGCACCUCCUGCUGUGACACAGAGCAUCAUGGAUCAACUCUUCACUCCACAUAGGGGAUCAGAGGGAAAGCGCUGGGGCUGGGGUCCACGUCAGCUGGCUGAGUCUUGACAACAGUGCCCUGAGAAGCCAUGGACAGGGAAGGCCAGGCCCCGUGUCCCUCUGCUGUGCCUGGAAUGAUCUUAAUGACCAAGACUUUUUCUCUUGUAUUGCAGCUGCUCAUCACUUUACUCUCUGCCCACCAUUCAGUAAACCUUACAGACUCGCUGUGCCUGACUUUUAAGUCCAUAACAAGCCAUGUGCCACGUGGAGAAGUGGAUCACAGGCCAGUCUUGUUUUCACCCCCUGAGCCUCUCCUGUCAUGCUCCUGGGGCUCGGCACACAGGCUGUAGUUGCAUUAGGACUGAGACGGUAGGUGGCUCAGAUUCAGGGCCCAUGAAAGAAUCGAAGGUUCGAGGAAUAGUCAGGCCAGGGCUUUGAAGGGUGGCUGGUGACAGUGGGCUGGAGUGAGGCAGGCACUGAUGUCCCUGAGGAAGCUGGGUUGGCCCGAGUUCUGGCUCCUGGCUCAUGAGUAAAUGCCUGCUUUUGUGGUCAACCGACCUGGUUUGCCUGGGAUUGAGGGGUUUCCCAGGACAUGGGACUUGAUUGUUAAAUCCAGAAAAGUCCUGGGCAAACUGGAAGGAGUUGGUCAUCUUAACCUCGGGAGUCAAAUACAUGAUGUCAGCCUGAGAGGACAGGUUACUGAGUAAAGGCGGGAGGGAGCAGGGUGAAGGUGGAGCAGCCACUGUUGGUGGAACUUGUGGCUAUCCUCAAGGUCAGGCUUUUGGAGAUAAUUGUGGUAAGUCAAUAAUAGCAGUAAUGUGAUUAUGGUCUAAGGAUGUGCAUGUGUGAACUUUUUAAUUCCCAUAUUAUAGAUGGAUGGGUCUCUGUGAGGAAAUAGGUCCCAAAGACCAUGAUGAAAGGCUGGAGUUAAUUGUCCAAUUUCUGCACUUGAACUUGCCUUGAUGAAUUUGACACCUUGAUGGGCUCCUUUUCAGGGGCAGGCAGGUGUUCUUCAUGGCUGAAGUGUUCACUCUGCCAGCCAGUUCCUGACACAGGCAUCCAGAAGUCAGAAGUGUUUUUUUUUUUUUUUUUUUUUUUUGGUCUUCCCUGCGGACUGUCUUGACUUUUUUUUAGCAGCCUUUAGUCAGCUGGUUGUGGCUGCAUGAAAAAACGCCAAGGGAAGGAUCUGGGUCCACCUGAGAAAGCUGUGACUGGUUGGGAAUGUGUGCUGCCGUGGAGGAACAGAAGAAUGUGGGCCAGUACUUAAAAAGUGUGCAUGGAGACACUUGGCGUGUCCCACCGGGCACCAGGUCAUGCCCGCCUCACAUGCGGCAUGGGAAGCAUGAGCCAUGUCAAGUGUUGCGGGCCUGAGGAAAUCUGAGAAGAGCAUUCCAACCAACGUGACCUAGGAACCAGGCUUUAGGUCAUGGAGCUAUGAUCCUUGCUGGGAGACGUACAAGCUUCCUGGAGGGCCUGGUGGAGCAGGGGGUGGGAGAUUUCCAUAGCAGAACUGAGAGCUAGAAGUAUGGAGAGCUGGUCAGAGUGAAGGUCCGUCCAUUAAAAAGAAAAAGCAUUUAUUUAUGAGCCAGGCACCAUGUGCUUAGAAGUAGGGGUAUAAUGGGAAAUAGCAUAGUUUGUGGACUUAGGUAUUCCUGAAAUGUCUAGAUAAUAAUGUUUAUGUGCUGAAUGUCUAUGGAACAUGCAUUUAUGUUGGGCACUGCUGUAGGUGUUGGGGAUACUGCUCCAAACAAAACAGGAGGCCUCAGCUUAUUUAGAACUACAGUCCAUUAUGGUAAUGUAAAGUUCACAUCUUCACUUGCACAAGCUGUAUUUCAAGUGCUUGGUAGCCACAAGUGGCUGUCAUGUUGGGUAGUGCAGGUAUCGAAGACUUUUUCUAUCACAAGAAGUGUGGUGUUGAAAACCCACGGGCCCCAAAGUGGUAUUACUUAGGCCAAGUCCCCAAACCCGGGCAUAAUACCUAAUCUAAUUGCAGUUUCAACUUCCCCCAGAAAUGUAGUCUUUCCUGGUCAGUCACAAGUUCUCUGAUGGGUGCCAAGGAGUCUUCCACAGGGGCCCUCUCCAUCCCCAAAGGAGGAUGGAGUAAUCUACCUGAUUAGACCCCCCUCCUGUUUCCCCUAAGGGAAAGCCUUGCCUGGAACAAUUUUCUUUUGCAAAUAACUUUCUUGCCCCACCUCCCUUCCCUAGAAACCUUUCUGUUCAAUCUCUUGGAGCUCCCCUCUGCUUGUUGGAUGGGAUGCUGCCUGAUUCAUGAAUUGUUUAAUAAAGCCAACUAGAUCUUCAGAUUUACCUGGUUGAAUUUUGUUU
This is a long non-coding RNA of Zalophus californianus (California sea lion), 3576 nucleotides long. RefSeq lists it as uncharacterized. The record is from RefSeq and is a predicted model, not a curated record. The transcript is spliced from 7 exons. Lineage: Eukaryota; Metazoa; Chordata; Mammalia; Carnivora; Otariidae.